UCGGUGCCAAAGCGCGUUUAUUGGUACAAUCUGUCAGCGUCAGGCCGGCUUCCUUGCGUUGCCGGUUCGCUGUUCAGUGGUUGAAACGGAGUAACUAUGCUGAUCGCACGGUCCUAGUACCGGCGACGAAUCUUUGAAAUGACUUGCUCAUCAACUGUCGAUGGUAGGUUACGUGCCUACCAUGGUGACAACGGUUAACGGAGAAUCAGGGUUCGAUUCCGGAGAAGGAGCCUGAGAGACGGCUACUACAUCCAAGGAAGGCAGCAGGCGCGCAAAUUACCCACUCCCAGAACGGGGAGGUAGUGACGAUAAAUAACGGAACGUAUCUCGAUGAGACGCGUUACCGGAACGAUUGAGCCUUAUAACAGCUCGACUAAAGCUAUUGGAGGGCAAGUCUGGUGCCAGCAGCCGCGGUAAUUCCAGCUCCAAUAGCGUAUAUUAAAGCUGCUGCGGUUGAACCGCUCGUAGUUGGAUUGCGAUUUUCGGCCACGGUCCUCUAAGUCAAGAGGAUUGGCUCUGCCGCCGUUGGUCAUGAUCGGUAUUGUCAUGCUUGUCCUUGAUGCUCUUUGCUGAGUGUCAUGGGUGACAUGGACGUUUACUUUGAGAAAAUAAGAGCGCUCAAAGCAGGCUGCUCAUAGCUUGAAUGGGAAUUUCAUGGG
This 659-nucleotide ribosomal RNA is filed under the name Capillaria sp. 69CSP_B. Its description in RNAcentral is "bacterial SSU rRNA". It matches the Rfam family "Eukaryotic small subunit ribosomal RNA", at positions 190 to 813 of the family's 1831-position model. Lineage: Eukaryota; Metazoa; Nematoda; Enoplea; Trichinellida; Capillariidae. The record is from RNAcentral.